Molecule: ribosomal RNA, 484 nt
Filed under: uncultured bacterium
Lineage: Bacteria
Description: partial 16S ribosomal RNA
Rfam family: Bacterial small subunit ribosomal RNA
Source: RNAcentral
AUUGAACGCUGGCGGCAGGCCUAACACAUGCAAGUCGAGCGGAUGAAGGGAGCUUGCUCCUGGAUUCAGCGGCGGACGGGUGAGUAAUGCCUAGGAAUCUGCCUGGUAGUGGGGGAUAACGUCCGGAAACGGGCGCUAAUACCGCAUACGUCCUGAGGGAGAAAGUGGGGGAUCUUCGGACCUCACGCUAUCAGAUGAGCCUAGGUCGGAUUAGCUAGUUGGUGGGGUAAAGGCCUACCAAGGCGACGAUCCGUAACUGGUCUGAGAGGAUGAUCAGUCACACGGGAGCUGGGACACGGUCCAGACUCCUACGGGAGGGAGCAGUGGGGAAUAGUGGACAAUGGGGGAGAGCCUGAUCCAGCCAUGCCGCGUGUGUGAAGAAGGUCUUCGGAGUGUAAAGCAGUUUGAGGUGGGAGGAAGGGCAGUAAGUUAAUACCUUGCUGUUUUGACGUUACCAGGAGAAUAAGCACCGGCUAACUUCGUG